This 1089-nucleotide long non-coding RNA is filed under the name Sorghum bicolor (sorghum). RNAcentral's name for it is "long non-coding RNA (SBIC_LNC007266)". The record is from RNAcentral. Lineage: Eukaryota; Viridiplantae; Streptophyta; Magnoliopsida; Poales; Poaceae.
CGGGGAGAGGCUAGACGAUUUGUCUUUUUAGUACUAGGGAUAAAUGAGCAAUUUUAAGGUAUUCUUGAAUCUAAAUGUGUUGUAAGAUUUAGCGUCCGAUAAUAUAUCAACGUUUUAUGCGUAGAGGGAUAGCACACGGCCACAUGAGACAGAUUUGGGCCUCACCCAAAAAUCCUAAGUAUGCCCCAAUAAUCGAUGUAACACUAUGGCCUAGCUAAAACUUGUCUGCGCCCCAUCCACGACCCAACGGAUACUUUUCUGUGAUCCGCCUCGCACACGUGCGUCAUUCCCCUUCUCUAGUUCCCCACACGGCCAUCAUACCAGACGAUCAGACCAAAUUUUUAGCUAAAAUUUUACCUCUUUUUUUGAGAUUACACAGUACAACGUAGACACUCAAGACGCACACACACUUUAGUAUUAAGGAUAGACUAAUAUUUUAUAGAAAUUUAAUUAAAUUUUAAAAAGUUUGGCCUGUAUGAAUCCUAUAAUAAUAUCUUUUUUUUAAUGGGGGGAGUACGUACGAGCAACCUCCACUGUAACCUCUUCACACUUCUAGAUCUUAUUGCUCCUUUGCAUCUCCUCAAACCUCGUUCCAACUCUUACAACAUGGCGCCACAGAGUAGGUCAUUGCCAAUUCAAAUAUCGUAGUACAUGUCAUCUAAGCCCACAGAUAAAUAUAGGAGCCAGGGCCGUCCUGGCAUAAAUGGGGACCCUGUGCUAAAUUCUAAAAUAGGCCCUAACAACUAACAAAAUACAAUAGUAAAAUAAUGUACUUAUUGCAAGAAGCUUGGUGAUGUUUUAGCUCUUCAUGAUUUUUAGAAUGACGUAUAAUUGGAAAUAUAGGGAGUAUGUACAAUGAUCAACAACUAUACAGUUUUAACUUUUGGCUGCAUGACCUAUCCAUAGCUCCUUCAUAAUAUUAAGUUCUCUAUCUUUUUGAGUUUUUUGUAAUUCCAUUCAUAUUUUCCUAGAUUCAUUUGCAAAGAAAUGGCUUUGAUUUGAAACACUUUAUGCCUAGACACGUCAAUACACAACAAUAAGUAAGGGAAAAAAACCAAAUUAAGAGACAUUGCGUUAGUUAUAUGCAUC